AGCGAACGCUGGCGGCAGGCUUAACACAUGCAAGUCGAACGGGCACUUCGGUGCUAGUGGCAGUCGGGUGAGUAACACGUGGGAACGUACAUUUCGGUUCGGAAUACUCCAGUGAAACUUGGACUAAUGCCGGAUAAGCCCUUCGGGUGAAAGAUUCAUCGCCGUGAGAUAAGCCCGCGUCUGAUUAGCUAGUUGGUGAGGUAAUGGCUCACCACGGCGACGCUCAGUAGCUGGUCGGAGAGGAUGAUCAGCGACACUGGGACGGGGACGCGGUCCAAACUCCUACGGGAUGGAGCAGUGGGUAAUAUAGGCAUAUGGGGGGAAUGCUGAGGGAGCCAUGCCGGGUGAGUGAUGAAGGCCUUAGGGUUGUAAAGCUCUUUUGUCCGGGAAGAUAAUGACGGUACCGGAAGAAUAAGCCCCGGCUAACUUCGUG
This 433-nucleotide ribosomal RNA is filed under the name uncultured bacterium. RNAcentral describes it as "partial 16S ribosomal RNA". It matches the Rfam family "Bacterial small subunit ribosomal RNA", at positions 29 to 507 of the family's 1533-position model. The record is from RNAcentral.